Molecule: ribosomal RNA, 454 nt
Filed under: uncultured bacterium
Lineage: Bacteria
Description: bacterial SSU rRNA
Rfam family: Bacterial small subunit ribosomal RNA
Source: RNAcentral
GAUGAACGCUGGCGGCGUGCUUAACACAUGCAAGUCGAACGGGAUCCCAGGAGCUUGCUCCUGGGUGAGAGUGGCGAACGGGUGAGUAAUGCGUGACCGACCUGCCCCAUACACCGGAAUAGCUCCUGGAAACGGGUGGUAAUGCCGGAUGCUCCAGUUGACCGCAUGGUCCUCUGGGAAAGCUUUUGCGGUAUGGGAUGGGGUCGCGUCCUAUCAGCUUGAUGGCGGGGUAACGGCCCACCAUGGCUUCGACGGGUAGCCGGCCUGAGAGGGCGACCGGCCACAUUGGGACUGAGAUACGGCCCAGACUCCUACGGGAGGCAGCAGUGGGGAAUAUUGCACAAUGGGCGCAAGCCUGAUGCAGCGACGCCGCGUGCGGGAUGACGGCCUUCGGGUUGUAAACCGCUUUUGACUGGGAGCAAGCCCUUCGGGGUGAGUGUACCUUUCGAAUAAG